AAGAAACCAAAUUUUAAGGGUAAGCUAAGUAAGAUCCAAGCCAAAGUGAAGGUGUAUGAAAAUACGUAAAGGUGUGCAUUGUGAAUGUACAAAAAUAGUGUCUUAUUGCUGUUAGGAUGCAAGAACAAUGAAAAUGAUUACCUAAGUUACGCCACUUCACAAAUGAUACUUCAAUAGAUAUCUUAUUGUCUAGUAGCUCUUCAUACUGCCUAUCAACUGUGGAUACUGUGACUCAAGAGCUCAAUAAUUUGUUUUUGUAUUCCGUAGUCCAGCAUUUUGUGGAAAAGUGUUUUGUUGCUGGUCAUAGUUUAGGUACUUUGAUUCUUUUUUAUAUUCUUUCAAACCAAAACUUUAAUGAUUGCAGCAAAGAAAGGGCAAAACCUGAAGUUCUUGAAAGCUUUGAAAGUAACCAGCAAGAAUUAGAAAGCUUUGAAGAUCUUGAACAUCUUUUAAGAACUUUGAAUUUAGCAGAAUAUUUAGAUACUUUUAAUGAGGACGAAAUUAGUUUAUCAACACUGGUGAGGGUUGACCGAAAAGUUUUCCUCUUUAAUGUGAAAACUAAUUCAUGUUAUUCAUAGGUGGUGUAUUUAGCUUCAACCAAAUUUGAAAGUUCUUUAUCUAUAUUUUAGUUCUUUUUAUCGGAUGAAGAUUAGAAGAACAUGGGCUUACCUAUUGGUCCGGGUCGAAAAUUGAUGAAUGCUGUUAAGAAAAAUUGAUGCUUUUUUAUGUAGUAUUUUUUUUUAUAAAAUAACUAAUUUUUUUAAAUCAUAGCUUUUAAUACAUAACAUAAUUUGCAUUUGCUGAAAACUCCAAUAAUAGCAGUAAAACUUACAUUUUUAAAAAUUGUUUUUUUUUUUUAAUUUUAUAUUUAACUCUUAAAAUGAGUUUAAACCUUUCAAUAUGGUUUAUUCAUAGGAUUAUAUACCAUCAUUUGGUUAUAAAUUAUGUCUCUUAAAUUAUAUUAGCAUAUUUGCUAAAUUAUUUUUUAAUUUUUUCCUAUAUCUUAUGUAGUUAGCUUUUGUGGUGUUUGUGAAUUUUGUUUUCAUUUGUUUAAAAUCAUUACAUAUGUUUAUGCUUUAUUUGACCUUUCACAUAAAAAUGCAAUAUCUUUUUUUAGAAAUUUUUUGUUGAAAUUUCGGCUACAAUAUCAAUAAAAUUUUAUAUGAAAUUGAACACUCAACUAUUGCAAUGUAACUGUUUAAGAAAAAUUUCUUGAUAUAUAUUUACUUUGUUUAUAUGUAUUUUUUCAUUUUGUGUGCUACCAAAUUAUGCAUGCCCUACAAUUUCUGUUAGAUUUAAUUCUUUAUGUGCUUCAUUAAAACUAUUAAAAUGUAAAUUAAAUAAGUUUUGAAUUGAAAAAUUAUUGCAAUAUGAGCAAGAGUUUUAAUUUUCUUAUUUUCACCUAAAACAUUUAAUGGUCACAUGAUCAACCAUUUUAUCGAUUGAUUGAUUUUAGCAAAAAGUUAGAAAGUCCUUUUAAAGUUUCUAAAUUUAUUUAAUUUCAAGCAAAGUAUUGUUAGUUUUAUUUAAUUCUUGUUGUCGUAUUGAUAACAGUUCACUUAAUUCUUUUUUAUCCAACUAAUCUAAAAUUUUGCGAUUGGAUUCAAUCCAAGGGAGUAAGCUGAUCAAUCCAUAAUUUAAUUAUAUUUUUAGGUAGAGCUAGCUGCCAGUGCUUGCACUAGAGUGUAUGGAUGUGUUGUCGUGUUGCCAAAACAAGCUUAGAUUUCCUAUUCUUCUUCGAAAACGUUUUAAGUUUGUCCUGUAGAACUUUUUGAGAGUAGUCCUUGUUAUCCAUUUUAUGUGAAGUAAAGGCUAAAUUUAGUUUACCUUGUUUACUGUAGGCUUGCCAGGAUAAUUUUUUCUUUCGACAAAUCCCUCCUAUAAUAUGAGUAUCCAUCUGGGCAUUUUAUAAAUUAAAAUUUUGGUCACUAAAAAUAACCUGUAAUGAAAAUUACUAAUUUUGAGAAUAGUGGUUUCAUCGCAACGAAAAUUGUUAGUUUAAUAUUUAUUAGUGAUUAAUUACCAUUCUUGUUUUUUUUUCUUCAAAAAUUUAAUCUUGUGACUUUAUGAUGAGGUUUCUGACUUUCCCUUUAUUGCUCAGAGAACUGAAUCCUUUAAAACAUCUAGGUUGAAUUUUGUUCAUACUUCAAACAUUGACUUAUUUGACACUGUUUGAAUAUUUUUUUUUUCUUCCCAAUGAAAAAGAUUUUGAGGAUGCCCUGUAUAUUUAUUCAACACUUAGAUAUACUGUUUAGUUAAAAUGUAAAUUGCGCCAAUUAAAUGUUUUAGAAUGUACAUAUACUCUAAAGUGCAGUCAUCUGACCUUUCUCUAGGUCAGACAGCUGAGUUUCGUAGGGCAUGAAAUAAAAUUGAAAUUUCAAUAUCAAAAUAAGAGCAGAAUAUAUAUAUUUUUGUGAUUUUUUUUCCUUCAUAUUUGUAUGAUGCAGCUAAAAUCAAAAUAAAUAAUUUGCAGUCUCACA
Parasteatoda tepidariorum (common house spider) is the source of this 2480-nucleotide non-coding RNA. NCBI's taxonomy places the organism in Eukaryota, Metazoa, Arthropoda, Arachnida, Araneae, Theridiidae. The record is from RefSeq and is a predicted model, not a curated record.